RNAcentral lists this ribosomal RNA (484 nucleotides) under uncultured bacterium. Its description in RNAcentral is "partial 16S ribosomal RNA". It matches the Rfam family "Bacterial small subunit ribosomal RNA", at positions 30 to 507 of the family's 1533-position model. The record is from RNAcentral.
AUUGAACGCUGGCGGCAGGCCUAACACAUGCAAGUCGAGCGGAUGAAGGGAGCUUGCUCCUGGAUUCAGCGGCGGACGGGUGAGUAAUGCCUAGGAAUCUGCCUGGUCGUGGGGGAUCACGUCCGGAAACGGGCGCUAAUACCGCAUACGUCCUGAGGGAGAAAGUGGGGGAUCUUCGGACCUCACGCUAUCAGAUGAGCCUAGGUCGGAUUAGCUAGUUGGUGGGGUAAAGGCCUACCAAGGCGACGAUCCGUAACUGGUCUGAGAGGAUGAUCAGUCACACUGGAACUGAGACACGGUCCAGACUCCUACGGGAGGCAGCAGUGGGGAAUAUUGGACAAUGGGCGAAAGCUUGAUCCAACCAUGCCGCGUGUGUGAAGAAGGUCUUCGGAUUGUAAUGCACUUCAGGUUGGGAGGAAGGGCAGUAAGGUAAUACCGUGCUGUUUUGACGUUACCAACAGAAUAAGCACCGGCUAACUUCGUG